UUCCGGUUCGGCGAAAUCACGGAUGAAAAGGGAAUCGGGUGAAAGUCCCGGACAGUCCCGCUGCUGUAAGCUCCAGACAUUUACGUUUGUCUACCCUCUGCAAGGCCACUGUCUUUUAAAUGAAGAUGGGAAGGCAAGACAAACGGGAGUAAGUCAGAAGACCUGCAAA
This 169-nucleotide non-coding RNA is filed under the name Phocaeicola plebeius. The record is from RNAcentral. Lineage: Bacteria; Pseudomonadati; Bacteroidota; Bacteroidia; Bacteroidales; Bacteroidaceae.